RNAcentral lists this ribosomal RNA (491 nucleotides) under uncultured bacterium. RNAcentral's name for it is "partial 16S ribosomal RNA". It matches the Rfam family "Bacterial small subunit ribosomal RNA", at positions 29 to 507 of the family's 1533-position model. The record is from RNAcentral.
GUGCACGCUGGCGGUAGGCCUAACACAUGCAAGUCGCACGGCAGCACAGUAAGAGCUUGCUCUUACGGGUGGCGAGUGGCGGACGGGUGAGGAAUACAUCGGAAUCUACUUUUUCGUGGGGGUUAACGUAGGGAAACUUACGCUAAUACCGCAUACGACCUACGGGUGAAAGCAGGGGAUCUUCGGACCUUGCGCGAUUGAAUGAGCCGAUGUCGGAUUAGCUAGUUGGCGGGGUAAAGGCCCACCAAGGCGACGAUCCGUAGCUGGUCUGAGAGGAUGAUCAGCCACACUGGAACUGAGACACGGUCCAGACUCCUACGGGAGGCAGCAGUGGGGAAUAUUGGACAAUGGGCGCAAGCCUGAUCCAGCCAUACCGCGUGGGUGAAGAAGGCCUUCGGGUUGUAAAGCCCUUUUGUUGGGAAAGAAAAGCAGCAGGUUAAUACCCCGCUGUUCUGACGGUACCCAAAGAAUAAGCACCGGCUAACUUCGUG